CCUACGGGUGGCAGCAGUGGGGAAUAUUGCACAAUGGGGGAAACCCUGAUGCAGCGACGCCGCGUGAGCGAAGAAGUAUUUCGGUAUGUAAAGCUCUAUCAGCAGGGAAGAAAAUGACGGUACCUGAGUAAAAGCCCCGGCGAAAUACGGUCCAGGAGCCGGGGUAAUUCGUAGGGGGCAAGCGUUAUCCGGGUUUACUGGGCGUAAAGGGAGCGUAGGCGGCCUGGCAAGUCUGAUGUGAAAUACCGGGGCUCAACCCCGGGGCUGCAUUGGAAACUGGUAGGCUGGAGUGCCGGAGAGGCAGGCGGAAUUCCUAGUGUAGCGGUGAAAUGCGUAGAUAUUAGGAGGAACACCAGUGGCGAAGGCGGCCUGCUGGACGGUGACUGACGCUGAGGCUCGAAAGCGUGGGGAGCAAACAGGAUUAGAUACCCGGGUAGUC
RNAcentral lists this ribosomal RNA (439 nucleotides) under uncultured bacterium. RNAcentral's name for it is "partial 16S ribosomal RNA". It matches the Rfam family "Bacterial small subunit ribosomal RNA", at positions 338 to 795 of the family's 1533-position model. The record is from RNAcentral.